This 996-nucleotide long non-coding RNA is filed under the name Trifolium pratense (red clover). RNAcentral describes it as "long non-coding RNA (TPRA_LNC006677)". Lineage: Eukaryota; Viridiplantae; Streptophyta; Magnoliopsida; Fabales; Fabaceae. The record is from RNAcentral.
GUGUCCAUAUACAAACUAUUUAUAACUAAAAAAUAAUUUAAGUUCUAUCAUAUUGCUGUGCUGUUUGUUCAAUUUAUAUAAUUUAUACAACUACUUGUAUUUGUAUAUAUACACACACAAUUGUUAAAAGAUAUUUUGGAUAUUUCAACUACUCGGUGGAAUACAAAUUCAUGUGGUUCCUAAAGAGUAGGGUAGUAUUAUUUUUUGACAUGUAUGUCUCUUUCACUUAGUGUUUUAUUGGUAAAAGAUAUAUAUUAGAUAGAGUAUACAUAUUUUUUACGAUGUUUUAUUGGAACGGAGAGGAGAGAGAUGUUGAAUAAACACUUAUGCUUUAAACAUUCAAUUAAGCUAUUUAUCCAAACAGGGCCUUAUACUGUUUUUGUUGUUUAAGGAAUUGAUUAUGAGGAUUUGAGUAACAAAUAAGUGUUGAAUUGUAUAUUUUAUUUUGCUGAUUUUUUAUCUCUUGGUGUGUGUUGUGUUUGUUGUAGAUUUGUCAGCGGUAAAGAGCAAGGAUCCAGAGUGGUACAUGUCCCACAUUUUACUGUUUACUCUGCCGNNNNNNNNNNNNNNNNNNNNNNUGUCCGUUGAAACAAACUGCCUCUCUCUAUCUCUCCGCCGCUUUUGAUCUCUCGACCACUGUAUCUCCAAAUCGCCGUCUCUGACUCAUCAUAGUUCUCACGGUCGAGGUGUUUAUUUUCCCCUUUAGAGUUUGAAGAUGGUUUGAUUGAAAUUGAAGAUUGCCAAUGAGGAUUGAAGUUGUUUGAUUGAAAUNNNNNNUUGAUUAUGCCGAAAAAUCUAAUCCUGUAUUGUUUCAACUUGUGAGUUUGAUUAUGAUUAUUUUAAAAAUUCAAGCAUGACUGAGCUUCUUUACUGAUAGCAUUAUUGUGUAGCGGAAUUUGAACAAACCACUAUUUUCCAAAAUCUACGAUUGACAACACUGAAUUUAUGUCUCAUUUGUUGCUAUUUUGUAUUCUACGAUGUCAAGUAUUAUGUGCA